RNAcentral lists this ribosomal RNA (505 nucleotides) under uncultured bacterium. Its description in RNAcentral is "partial 16S ribosomal RNA". It matches the Rfam family "Bacterial small subunit ribosomal RNA", at positions 28 to 523 of the family's 1533-position model. The record is from RNAcentral.
GAUGAACGCUGGCGGCGUGCCUAAUACAUGCAAGUCGAACGAUGAACCCGGAGCUUGCUCCGGUGGAUUAGUGGCGAACGGGUGAGUAACACGUGAGUAACCUGCCCUUGACUCUGGGAUAACUGCGGGAAACUGUAGCUAAUACCGGAUACGACCCUCGGCGGCAUCGCCAGGGGGUGGAAAGAAUUUCGGUCAAGGAUGGACUCGCGGCCUAUCAGCUAGUUGGUGAGGUAACGGCUCACCAAGGCAACGAUGCGUAGCCGACCUGAGAGGGUGAUCGGCGACACUGGGACUGAGACACGGCCCAGACUCCUACGGGAGGCAGCAGUAGGGAAUCUUCCGCAAUGGACGAAAGUCUGACGGAGCAACGCCGCGUGAGUGAUGAAGGCUUUCGGGUCGUAAAACUCUGUUGUUAGGGAAGAACAAGUGCUAGUUGAAUAAGCUGGCACCUUGACGGUACCUAACCAGAAAGCCACGGCUAACUACGUGCCAGCCGCCGCGGUAA